UCCUCUAGAUGUUGUGCUCAUUGGUCUGCAUACAUCGGUAUGUACAAGUUCCAACAAGUCUAAUGCUCUCUCAGGAAAACCUGUGAAAGGUGGCUUGGAUAUUCAAUAAACAUAAUAUACAAAUUAUGGAUACAAUCAGAUAUCAUCAUCUCUAUGAUUGCUUCUAGGGCAUACCUCCAACAAGGUCCGAGUAGUUUCCAUAUGCACACUUAACUAGUCCGAGUGGGAUACGCCUAUUGCUGCAUAGCCCCUUUGUCUUGAUCAUGUCCGAGUACGUCCCUUAGUGGGCCAUUCAGGGCCUACU
Molecule: long non-coding RNA, 304 nt
Filed under: Setaria viridis
Lineage: Eukaryota; Viridiplantae; Streptophyta; Magnoliopsida; Poales; Poaceae
Description: long non-coding RNA (SVIR_LNC009540)
Source: RNAcentral